GUAGGUGAACCUGCGGAAGGAUCAUUAAAAAUUCUGAGUGUUCACGCAUUCUAAUUUCCACCCUGUGUAUCUGUUACCGUAAGCUUUCGCUGGGCUGUGGAGGUUGAGUCCUUGCGGCUCGCCUCCCCUUCUGACCGGGCAACAGCCCCCUCGGGAGAGUCCUGGCGGGAGCCAACCAAACAAACCCUUUUUCGUUACAUAUAGUCUGAAAAUGAUCUAAAAAAUCAAUUAAAACUUUCAACAAUGGAUC
Molecule: unclassified non-coding RNA, 250 nt
Filed under: plant metagenome
Description: partial contains small subunit ribosomal RNA, internal transcribed spacer 1, and 5.8S ribosomal RNA
Source: RNAcentral